Molecule: non-coding RNA, 1601 nt
Organism: Nicotiana tabacum (common tobacco)
Lineage: Eukaryota; Viridiplantae; Streptophyta; Magnoliopsida; Solanales; Solanaceae
Source: RefSeq, a predicted model, not a curated record
UCUUCAUGGGGCUCCGUAUGGUUUGAAGGACAUUAUUGGCUUCCAAAUCUUUCAGGGAUCAAGUUUUUAAUGUUGAAGCUUGGGUUUAUAAGAGAUUGAUGAGUCUAUUCGUAAGAUUGUGAUUCGUGUUCUAGGCUUCUGCAGUUGCUCGCUCUGUUGCAGCCGAUGUCAAAAGUGCUGGUGAUCAGGAAAUAAUUAAUUCAGUUGAUGUCACAUGUGGUCUAAGCUUUGGCGAAUACAUUGCUCUGGCGUUUGCAGGAGCUUGCAGGUUCCUGCCUUGCAUAACCUUAUGGAGACACAUAUAUUAGGAGUUGUCUGGUCAAGCUAAGAGGAGAAGCUAGGAUGCUACUGAAGCUGCAAAAAGUGCAAUGGUUAGUAUAAUUGGAUUAGACUCCGAGAAGGUCCACAAACUGUGUGAUGCAGCUAAUGAGGAAGUUGAUGAAGCCAACAAAGUUCAGAUUGCAAAUUUCUUGUGCCCAGUGAGUUUUUUCAAAUGCUCUAUAACCAGAGCAUUUGAGGAAGUUGGCUCUAUAACCAGUAAUUGGACUGGACUUCGAGAAGGUCCACAAACUGUGUGAUUCAGCUAAUGAGGAAGUUGAUGAAGCCAACAAAGUUCAGAUUGCAAAUUUCUUGUGCCCAGGAAAUUAUGCAGUCUCCGGAGGUCUUAAAGGAGUGGAAGUGGUAGAAGCAAAAGCAAAAUGAUUCAAAGCUCUAAUGAUGGUACGUCUAGCUAAGUUUUAUGAAUCCAGCUGUCUCAAGACUAGAAGCUGCUCUGGUGCAACAGAGAUCAGAACUCCUAGAAUACCAAUAAUAUCAAAUGUUGAUGUGCAACCACAUGCAGAUCCAGACACAAUUAAGAAAAUAUUAGCUCUCCAGAAAGCUCAUUCAUAAAUGACAAAAGCUGGUAUAUUCUAGGACAGCAGUCUGAAAGAUUUGUCAACUUUGAGAAAGAAGAGCUAUCCAAAACAGAUGCUUGCUUUGCCGUUCUGCACCAACACCAUGGGAUGACCUGCAAAUCUACUAGUACAAGAUGUUAAACCUGUGGAAUUCAAUCAUUGCAGUAUGGAAAAUUGACCGCGGAAUAAGGCUGCUGCUAAAUUUUAGUAUGCACAUUUGUAUGUUUUGCUUGUGGCUUGACCUCUCUGCAUAAAAAAGAAGCAAUUGUUGUUUAUGUAAUAUGUACUUUGUAAUGCAUUUUACGUUCUUGUUCAUUUAGCUCUAAUCUUUUGUUGCAAAUAAAGACAACUUUACGCAACAUCAGCUUGGCUCUCUCUUAGCUGAAUUCCCAUUAUUCUUAAAGUUACUCAAGCAGUUGAUCCAACAGAUGCUUACUAUCUGGGAAGUACAAUGAGAUCGCUCAACAAUCCACUGAGAAAUGAUACAAGGUUGACUAAGAAAAUUUCUAAGGUGUUCAGCACUCAGCCUGUGGCUUCCAACGAAGGACCUCUGAUUUUACCUUUAUGAUUCAUACCUAGAUGUUUAGUUCUCUGUGAGGAGCUCAAGACUUUGUGCUAACUCCCAAUGCUCACGAAAAAACUAUUGAUUGCUGAAGGACUCACACUGCAUUCUGAAUCCUUCUGAAGAAUGAUAAAUGCACAAAU